This 5172-nucleotide long non-coding RNA is filed under the name Homo sapiens (human). RNAcentral's name for it is "HSALNT0335555". The record is from RNAcentral. Lineage: Eukaryota; Metazoa; Chordata; Mammalia; Primates; Hominidae.
ACCAAAAACCAGGGCAGGGAGCUUGGAAAUGGCUAGUCCGGUCUUCAGAUGACUGUAGCUUGGCUUACCUCUUCACUGCAACUUCAUGGGAGAUCCAGCACCAGAACCACUCAACCGAGCCACUCUCAGGUUCCUGAUCCACAUGAACUUUAUCACAGGUUGCGAGAGGUCUUAAAUCCAUACUCUUCCAGUGACUAGAGCAAAUGCAGCCCUAGGUCUGGCAUCCUGAAUUUUUGUCUUAUUUUUUCAUUAGUACACGAGACUCUACUUUCAUCUUUUUAAAAGGUCUCUUGCUAUCCUUCAAGCAAAGCUAUCUCCAAAUCUGAAGAAGAGACCAAGAAAUAGAAAAAGUAGCACCUCUUGCCUGCUUCCCUGUCUAAUAUUUGAAAGAGUGCCUCCAUCAGAGAGCUCCAUCCAGACCUAGACUUGGACAAUAGGCAGUUGUUUGCUUGCCUCUGGCUCUGCUCACUCUCCAUGGGGGUCUAUAGCUGGUGAUCAUCUUGUAUACCUAAUUCUGGCUUCAUCUUCAGACUCGGACAGCCAGGAAUCCAGGAAUGUGCAGCAUGGAUGCCCAAGUCUGAGUGGAGGUUGCAUCAGUUUCAAAGACAUUGUGCUCUUCCCUGCCGUGGUGGAGUGGUGAGCCGGUUGACAUCCCGGAAAAGGUUGUUAGGGAGUGGAGGUGGGUGGAAGAACCAGAGUCAGACAGUCUGUUCUUCUCUGAUGGUGUCACAUCUGGAUAGAGUGGCUGGAGCUGCUGCAUCCAGCUUGCUACAAGCACAGGGGAUGGCAGAGCUCAGAGAUGGGAUGACCCUGUGUUCUUGAUGGAAUCAACCAGUCAUGCGGAUCCUGCUAUUUCUGGACUGGCUGUUAGGUGAGAUAAUGAAUUAUUUCCACAAUGCAUGCUUCUUGGAGCACAGGGAGACUCUUACUUGAGGACCUCGUUAUUUCUCACUGGGGCCAUGCUGGCGGCGUUCAAGUCAGGCUGCUCUCAGGCUUCUCCAGAAGUACCUAACAACUCAUGGCCACUCUUCUGACCCUAUCCUUCACAAGUAGGCCUACUUUAUAGGUACUGACCACAUAUUUUCUAUAUUAAUCUGAAAAACAUGAUGGUUUUGAGGUGUCACAUUUCCCAAGAUAUACCUUAGAAUUGAAGUUAUGCUUUAAUGAAUAAAAAAAUUAACACUUAUUUUUGAGGAUAACAUAUUCUAUAUAUCUUUAUAAAAUAUAGAACAUGGAGGAAAGUGAAAAGAAGGAAAUAAAUAUUUUGUAUUCAUAGAUAAUUUGUGUGUAGACAUAUACUUUUAGGUUUUUUUCCAGACAGCUAUCAGAAAAUCAAACCCUGCUUACCACUUAUAAGAUACUGUUCUCAUUUAGUCUGUAACAUCACAAACAGUUCACCUUUGGUUGCACAGUGCCCAGUUGAAUGGAUGCAGUGCAAUAUGCUCACCUACUUCUGUAUUGCUCAGGAUUUGGGUUGGUUCUAAUUCUUGAAGUCUCUUUGAUAACAAAGGAAAGGGAGAACAAAGAGAGGGGAGAAACUGGGAAUUUAGUAUUCAAAUAUUAAAUUUGAACACCUCUAAACUUGAAGAGUAAAUUGGAAUUGCUCCUCAGAGUAAAGUACCCAAAGAACUAAUAACUUACUCUUUUCUUCAAAUGGUGUCUCUCUAUUGGUUUAUCACAUUAGCUUGCCUUUGAGUUCAAGCAGGCAAGACACAGAGGCAGGUCCCUGAACCACAGCACUCUAAUUUUACAUGUCAGAGUUAAUACCAGUAUCAAUGUCAAUGUGGGAAGCUGGGCUUUAAAGUAAUCACCUCCUACUUCUGGUUUGUUGAAUAGGAUUGAAAACCCAAUGUUUUCUAAAGGCUCACCACUAAGACUGGAUUGGCAUUCCUAAAAGUAGGAGGCUCAAAGACAUUUCAAGCAUGUUUCUGCCACAGUGAUUUGUUGUGGUGGUUCAUUAGCAAAAUCUCUCUUCUGACUCACUCUAAUAAUAACAAUAUAACCUAUGAUAUCUCUAGAGAACUUUACAGUUCAGAAAAGGGAUUUCACCUCACUGUCUGAUCUGAUUACCACCAUAGAACUUUGAAAUCAGUUGGUAGCAGGGAAAUCUCCUACCCCUCCAUCUCCUGCCUCUGUCUCCAAAUUCCAUUCUGACUGGACUGUGCUUACUGGUGAUCCAGAUAACUGUGUUUUAAAAGGCAUGUGCAUUACACGAAUCCUCUCCCUUUGACCUGUUGCACCCAGCCUUGUGUGGCAAGCUUGCGCAAUGUCUGGAUUGGGAGAGUGGGCUGGCAUUUCUCUAGCUUUCUUUUGUGUGUGUGUGAACUCUGAAUGCUCUGGUCUCCAGGGACUGGCUGGCAGUAACAGUUGAAUUUCAAGCAAAAGGAGAAGACCCAUUAAGUUUACCUGAACUUAAGCAACAAGCGGUAGUCCAGAUUACUACAGGGUACAGGCACUAGUCCAGCUAGUCAUAAAAUGGUUUCUGCUCCCAUUUUGACACUGUGAUUUAUGUGUGUGUGUGUCCCUGCAAAUCUGCAUCACCCCAAUAUCACCAAUACUUCUAGUCUAGUGGUUUAUGCUCAUAACAUAGAGAAGGAAACCAAGACUCAGACCCCAGUGUGACUUGCCCAAGGUCACAGGGCUGGUAAUAAUGGAGCCUGACCUAGCUCUCAGAGUUCCUGAUCUUCAGUCACCACACCAGGCUUCCAACACUUUAUCUUUCCCCAGAAAUGACCCACAUCUUUGGCACUCUUCAUUUUGUCAGUAAUAAGCAAUGGGCAAGCUCCCCUCUGGAGAGAUAGCUUUUCCUGUUAUCACCCAGUCACAUGCAGGCCUCCCUGUUAUCACGUCUUUUCUCCUGCAACAGGAACAAACAAUAACAGUACUAUAGCUCCCUCUUUCCUAGGAGAAGGAAGUUUUGGUAACUAUUGUUCAGCCUCUGUGUUCAGGAGUGACAUGGACAAUAGGUAGAUUUCUGCAGCCUUAGGGAAGUAUCAGAAUGAAUCUGUUGAAAAACCGUGGUUCCAGAGACUCUUUCCUGUAAUUCUCCCCAGCACGGUCUUUCAUAUUUUAUUGCCUUGCAUGACUUCUUCUGCUUCCAUUAACACUGAGACAAAGGUAUUUUUUUGUACUUACUGAAUUUUUUCCCUAAGUAUCAUGUGAGUGGUGUACAAACUCAACUUUCAACCUCCUGCUAUUCAACUUGAGAGCUGUUUUAUAUGUUUUACCAAUUUCAAGUUACUUUCUAACUGACUGCAGGAAAAGUUCUUUAUGUCAUUCUGGAGAAGCAACCAAUUUUCACUGAAUGGUAAUACAAUGGAGUCCUUCUUAUUUGCUUUCAGUCUCAUCACAAAUAGUUAGCAUUCUGUUCCUUUUGCAGAAAAAAUGGCCUUAUGUUUAUAAUAAAAACAAAAUGUGUAUGUUGCAAUAUAGAUUUAAAAGUCAACACUGAAAUAUGCUGUCUUCUGUUAGUAAUAUUAUUUUUUAUUACUUCUCUCUCUCUAUUUUUUAAACCCACAUGAUAUAGACAUCUGACUCAUGAAAAGAAAAAUAGAAGUGAAAAUUGCCAUUUUUCUCAAGAAAUAGCACUUUCUUCCCACAAUAUAAAGAAGACCAUUUGACUUUUAUUACUAAGUUUUCCAAACCACUGAGCAUGCACCUCCACAUGCCUGCAGAGUGCACUGGUUGCCAUUGGGUUGAGUGAAUUCCAGUUACACAUUACUAUCACAGACAAGUAAAGGGUCAAUGAAAUACAUAUUCACGACCCCACAAAUAAUCUUUUCAGUAGUCUGUUUCCUAGUUACAUGAUUUCCCUUUUCUUAAAUCCUUGAAUUAUUUGAUAAAAGUCUCCACAGUGGUGUUUUUACUGUGGCUGAACUUUGGUGGGUAAAGAGAUAAAAGAAAAACUUCAAUCUAUGGCCUUGGGACACACAUGAGAAAUUUGCUACCCAGGUGAGGCACACUUGUGGAAGCCAAAAAUCUUCAUGCUUAUAUCAAAUCCAUGAAUAUUCUGGCUUCUGAACAUGGCCCAAGUACGGGAGGGUUAUGUGCAGUAGUAAACAGAUGACUAAACUACAUCUGAUGCCUAAGUAGUGACUUCUUGGUGAACACACAACUUUUUCACCAUGCUAUCAUGCAAUCAUUUUUAAAACUCGGGAUGUCAUCUUCCUCCCUUGUAAGUUCAAGCCCCCAGAUAUGGCUUAUCAGGCCACUUAUAAUGUGUGUGCUUUCAAGUUCACGAUAUACAUUGCAUUACAUUUAUAAUAUCAGGUGACGUGACACAGCAAAUGAUACCUUCAACUAUCUCCAGCCCCAAUCUUGGGAAAUGUUUCUGGUAGUCCCAGUAGCAGGGACAGCAAGCUAAAAUAAGGGGUUUAACGUUUAAGAUCUCUAAGAGCUGAUACCACUGGGGCAAACUCCCUCAACAAUGAGGUUUUCUCCAACCUCAAAAGAAAGGCCAGUGAACAGUCAUCUGGUACAGGUGGCAUUGCUGGUGGGAGGAGUGGGUUUUCCACGGCUGUACUACACAUUUUGGGAGCCAUCAAUAGCUGGCGCAGUGGAUGCAACACCCUCUUGAUUGUCAGCAGAAGCAAAUCACUAGAAGCCCUGGAACCCUAGUAAAACACCCAAAAGAAAACAUGGAAUUAAAUAUCACGUUGUCAUCCCUGCUGCUUAGGUACAGAAGAGGUACAGCUCUAUUCUGGAAGGAUUUGGAGUCAUUUGAGAGAGCAGCUUUACAUCAGAAGUUUUGACUAGUAUUCUCAUUUUAGGGACAGAUAGUGAUUCUCAUUUGAGGACAGCUGAAAAAAAAAAACAGCUGAAUUAUCACCAACUAGUUUAGGUUAUGUCUUGGGUUGAAUUGUGUUGUCCAAAAAGAUUCAUUGACGCACUAACCCCCAGAACCUCAGAAUGUGACCCUUAUUUGGAAUGAGGGUCUUUACAGAGUUAAUCAGAUUAAAAUAAGAUACGAUUGGCACUAACCCAAUAUGAGUUUUUAGAAAAAGGGGAAAUUUCAACCCAGAGACAUGCAUUGUGGGAGAACUAUAAGAAAAGAUACAGGCAGAACGCCAUGAGAAGACAAAUGCACAGACUAGGGGAUGCAACUACAAGCCAAGGAAUGGCAAAGAUUUCCAGCAAACCACCAGAUGCUAGGAGAAGCAUGGAACAGAUUCU